Molecule: long non-coding RNA, 2264 nt
Filed under: Homo sapiens (human)
Lineage: Eukaryota; Metazoa; Chordata; Mammalia; Primates; Hominidae
Description: HSALNT0093027
Source: RNAcentral
ACCUGAGCAAAGAAACACGCCCAGGCCCUUCCGAGUGGUUGAGGCUUGAAAAGUAAAGGCAGAUAGUGGAGAGUUUUUAAAUAUGAGACAAGAGUACUGGGUGGUGGCUAGGACCAUGGGGUCUCACCUGGCUCUGCCACCACCCCUCCUAGUGACUUUGAGUAAGUAGGUCACUCCACUGUUUGUGCCUCAGGGUGAUUAUCUGUAAAAGGCAAAUACAAUAGUACUUUGCGGAGUUUUGUGAGGAUUAAGUAGGAUGAUAUGAGUAAGCACUUAAAAUGGUACCUCACCUAUAAUGAGAGCUUAAAAAAUAUUAGCUGUUAUCAUUAUUAUAUUAAGAUGUGAACAGAGCUCACUGGGGAGUCAUCCUAAAGUUAAGACCCAAAGGCUCAGAAGGCUUUUAAAUAAAUUAGCUGGAGGAAAAAAUAGAUUCCUUGAAAAAAUUCAGGAAAUUUCCCUUUAAAAAACAAAAAGGCUUAGUUACAACCCCCACACACCUGCUGGCAGGUGGAGCCAGUCACAGCAGGAGAAGGAAGAUGCCUGGAGCUUCUCAGGAGCAUGGCUCAGACCUCCUCAUGUCUUCUCCCACACGAUUUAAAUUUAGAAUCCUAUUCAGAGGACAAUUAACCAAAGCUAAGUAUACUGUCGUGCCUAGGGUCAUGAACUAGAACCAAGCCAACUUGGCCUUUAUUGGAACAGUGAACUUGGGGCUCCAGCUCUUGAGCCAGCAAGCAAAUGACCUGUUGACUUAAGCAAGUUUCAACUUUCACCCUCAUCUCAGAGCUCUGGUCUUUCAUCUCUGAAGAAGGCGGUGGGAAACAAAUGUUAUUUCUCCUCUUCAUACUCCUUUUCUCAUUUAUUCUGCAGGAAAGAAAUGGUGUAUCAUUUCACUGUGUACCCUGCAGGGAAAUAAAGGUUCUGCCCUACCUACCAAGAUCAUAUUGCCGUAGCAUCAAAAAGCCCCAUACAAAAUAAAAGCUUUCAAAACACAGCAUGGUAUUAAAAGGACAUCUGUAUUUUAAAAGUCUCGUUUAUUUUGUUUACUGCUGAAUCUCCAUUGCCAGACACUGCCAGGCACACAGUAGGUGGUGACUUAUAUUUAAUGGACUAUUUAAUGAAUGAAUAAUAUUGGCACAUUGCGAUUCCGUAGAUCUAGUUGAGAUUCAGGCACAGAGGGACAUGAAGGCCAUGUGCUCAACAGCAUGUCUUAGGAGGCCACUGGCUCCUGUGAUAGCCUGGGCUGGCCAUCCUAGGCUUGUUCCUGGGCAAAGUCUUGCUUGCUAGAGAAAUAUCAUCCCCUGAGAAUGAGGAUAGCUUUAGGAUAUGUGCACACUGUUCUAAUUCUACCAUUUGAGCAACUCUAAGACAAGGAGUGAUCCUUUGUUGUGACACAAACAAUCCCAAGGAAUUUUGUUGCUCUCUUUAGGCCAAAGAUUGUGUGUAAUAAAUUUCUGGAGAAAACACACUGUUAAGGCUGGGCAUGGAGGCUCAUGCCUGUGAUCCCAGCACUUUGGGAGGCCAAGGCUGGAGGAUUGCUUGAGCCCAGGAGUUCAAGACCAGCCUAAGCAAUAUAGUGAGACCCCCUAUGUCUACAAAAAAAAAAAAAAAAAAAAAAAGAAAGAAAAACUAGCUGGAUGUAGUGGCAUGCACCUGUAGUCCCAGCUACUCAGGAAGCUGAGGUGGGAGGAUGGCUUGAGCCCAGGAAGUGGAGGUUGCAGUAAGCUGUUAUUGCACCACCACACUCAACCUGGGCAAUAGAGCAAGACCCUGUCACCAAAAAAAAAAAAAAAAAAAAAAAAAGAGAGAGAGAGAGAGAGAGAGAAAUAAUCAACUUUACCUGACAUUUGUAGAAUACUUCAUCCAAUAACCAGGAGAAUAUACACUCUUCUUAAGCACACAUGGAAUAUCAUCCAAAAUAGGUGAUAUUCUAGGCUAUGGGUUAGUAAAUUACAGGCCAGGGGGCAGCUGCCUAGUUUUUUUUAAACCAUUUUUAAGUGUUCAACUGAGUAACAUUAAUUAUAUUCAAAACGUUGUACAAUCAUUACCACUAUCUAUACCCAAAACUUUUUCGUCACUCCCAAUGUAAACUCUAUCCAUUAAACAAUCCAUUCCAGACUCUCUCCAGCCCCUCUACUUUCUGUCUCUAUGAGUUUGUCUAUUCUAGAUAUUUCAUAUAAGUGAAACUAUAUAAUAUUUAUCCUUUUAUUUCUGGCUUAUUUCACUUAGCAUAAUGUUUUCAAUGUUCAUCCAUAUUGUAGCAAAUG